AGGACGAACGCUGGCGGCGUGCUUAACACAUGCAAGUCGAGCGGAAAGGCCCUUCGGGGUACUCGAGCGGCGAACGGGUGAGUAACACGUGAGCAACCUGCCCUUAGCUCUGGGAUAGCUCCGGGAAACCGGAAUUAAUACCGGAUAUGACCUAGGCCGACAUCGGCCGUGGUGGAAAGUUUUUCGGCUAGGGAUGGACUCGCGGCCUAUCAGCUAGUUGGUGGGGUAAUGGCCUACCAAGGCGACGACGGGUAACCGGCCUGAGAGGGCGACCGGCCACACUGGGACUGAGACACGGCCCAGACUCCUACGGGAGGCAGCAGUGGGGAAUCUUGCGCAAUGGGCGAAAGCCUGACGCAGCGACGCCGCGUGGGGGAUGAAGGCCUUCGGGUUGUAAACCCCUUUCAGCAGGGACGAAGCGAAAGUGACGGUACCUGCAGAAGAAGCGCCGGCUAACUACGCGCCAGCAGCCGC
Molecule: ribosomal RNA, 474 nt
Filed under: uncultured bacterium
Lineage: Bacteria
Description: SSU rRNA
Rfam family: Bacterial small subunit ribosomal RNA
Source: RNAcentral